This is a non-coding RNA of 265 nucleotides. It matches the Rfam family "Bacterial large signal recognition particle RNA". From Rfam's summary of the family: The signal recognition particle (SRP) is a universally conserved ribonucleoprotein involved in the co-translational targeting of proteins to membranes. Archaeal SRP consists of a 7S RNA and homologues of the eukaryotic SRP19 and SRP54 proteins. The record is from Rfam.
CCGUGCUAGGCGGGGAGGUAGCGGUGCCCUGUACUCGCAAUCCGCUCCAGCGAGGCUGAAUCCCUUCUCGAGGUUAGUAUCCUGUAGGGCCUGCCUUAAGUAAGUGGCGUUGACGCCCGGGUCCUGCGCAAUGGGAAUCCAUGAACCAUGUCAGGUCCGGAAGGAAGCAGCAUUAAGUGGAAGCUCUCAUGUGCCGCAGGGUUGCCUGGGCUGAGCUAACUGCUUAAGUAACGCUUAUGGGUGCUAAUCGACGGAAGGUGCACGG